Non-coding RNA from Chrysemys picta bellii (western painted turtle), 543 nucleotides. Lineage: Eukaryota; Metazoa; Chordata; Testudines; Emydidae. The record is from RefSeq and is a predicted model, not a curated record.
GAGGGGAACCGGCAGAGCUGGGGGGGGGGGUGAGUUCCCAUCUCUAAUGCUCUCUCUGUCCCACACAGAAAGCCCCCCCAGAAGAGAAAGCCGCUGUGGGGCCGUGGCUGCUGGCCCUCUUCGUGUUUGUGGUCUGUGGCUCAGCUAUCUUCCAGAUAAUCCAGAGCAUCCGCCUCGGAGGAUGAUGGGAAACGCCGCUCUCCCUCCCACACCUCUUCUCAGGGAAUUCUGGGAUACCUCCUGGACCUCCAGUGACCCUCUGUGAUGUGCUGCUGCGCCCCCUCCUCCGCCUGCCAACGCUGUCCCCCUUCUUUUUGCCUCCUUGUAUGUUUCCAGCCCCGGGGGGGAAGAGAACGGCUCCCCUUUCUUCCUCCCCCCUGGUAAGGUGGGGGUGUCCCCCAGAGGUGCUGUGAAGGCAGCCUGGGGUUUGGUCACAGUGUGUGGGGGAGGAUUUUCCCUUAAAAUCUGUGAUUUCCACCCCCAGGUUUCGCAAUGUCUGACUGUUUACUGGAAAUACAUUAAAUGUUGGGAUUUUUAAUAAAA